GCGUCUCUAAUGUUGAUUAGUGUUGGUUGUUAAGCUUUAGGGCAGUUAUUCUAAACUGAUGUAUAAAAGAACUCUUAGAGACUUGUAAAGGGAGCUGUUGUGAAUGAAUUUGCAUUAUUCUCUGUAAAUCUCCUAAUCUUCUGUGUUUUCUUCCUUUUCUAGUUCAAUUCUGCUUCUAGACUUUCUUUUCUCUCUCUUUCAGUUCUUCCUUCUUCUCUCCCUAAUUCUUUUCUUUUUUGAAACUAUAACUCAUCAUUCUGCUGAUUCUUUCCUCUAUAUUUUCUUCCUCCUCCAUUCUUGAACCUGGCCCUGUCCUCUGUUCUUAACAUUUUUCUGUUCUCUCUCUUCUUUUCUUGGCUUCGAAACCCAUCCAUUAAGAUUCAUAUACAUUUUUCUCAUUCUAUCCCUAAAUUUCACCCAUUUUAUAACACCAAAUUUCUGCCAUGAAUUAUAUUCCUUUCUCGGUCACAAAGACCUUAUCAGAAUAGGUGCAAGGGCUUGUGUUUGUUGUGUGAUAAGCAAUUUACUUUUAACCAUGAUUGUGACAAGGAACCAAUUAUAGUGAGCAUCAUAAAUGACAUUGUAGAUUAAGAAGAUAAUGAUGAAAAUAGUGAGAAAUUGCAACAAAUACAAGAGAAGGUUCCUGCCAUCAAUGAUAGCAUUCAACAAGAAUGGCCCUCAAUAGUAAAUAUUUCUGUCGUCAAUAACAAUGGUCAACAAGAGUGCCCACCAAUCUUGCAGCCACUCGAAUGCUCUAGAUGGGACAAAGAAGGCCAAGAUUCUAAGAACUCAACCUUUUCUUUGCUUCAGAAAUCACUUUCAGAUGAUCAAAAUUUUUUAA
RNAcentral lists this unclassified non-coding RNA (841 nucleotides) under Hevea brasiliensis (rubber tree). The record is from RNAcentral. Lineage: Eukaryota; Viridiplantae; Streptophyta; Magnoliopsida; Malpighiales; Euphorbiaceae.